This 2598-nucleotide ribosomal RNA is filed under the name Triticum aestivum (bread wheat). RNAcentral describes it as "partial small subunit ribosomal RNA". Lineage: Eukaryota; Viridiplantae; Streptophyta; Magnoliopsida; Poales; Poaceae. The record is from RNAcentral.
AUGCCCCGCAUUCCCCUCUGCAACUCCACCAUGCCCAUGUCCCGCAUCGGCCUCCGCCGCCGCCGACUUUCCUCCUCCUUCUCCACCUCCACCUCCACCGCGCGAUCCUCACGGUCAUGGUCUCCCCACGCCGCAUUUGCCGCGGCCACGGAGCGCGUCCGCGCCGGGACGCUCAGCCCGGAGGACGCACACCACCUGUUCGACCAAUUGCUACGGCAGGACACUCCGGUCCAGGAGCGCUCCCUGGGCGGCUUCCUUGCCGCCCUCGCCCGUGCGCCAGACUCAGCUUCCUGCAGAGAUGGCCCCUCCCUCGCCCUCUCCCUCUUCAACCGCGUAUGCCGAGAAGAAGCAGGCCGGCGGGUGGCGCCGCCCACAGCCUACACCUACGCCAUCCUGAUGAACUGCUGCUGCCGCGUGCGUCGUCCAGACCUAGGGCUUGCCUUAUUUGGCCGCCUCCUAAGGACAGGCCUCAAAACAAAUGAGAUCGUCGCCAACACCCUCCUCAAGUGCCUCUUGCUGCGCAAAACGGACAGACGAGGCUUUCUUAAGAGCUUAUGUGAUAAUAGCAGCAGCCAGCGGGCGCUCGACCUCCUUCAGAUGAUGACGAAAGGAGGUGGCUGCUCCCCUGACGUAGUGACAUACAACACGGUCAUCCAUGGCUUCCUGCAGGAAGGGGAAGUAAGCAAGGCAUGCGAUCUAUACCAUGAAAUGGUGCAGCAAGGGGUUUUGCAUGAUGUGGUGACAUAUAAUUCGAUUCUUGAUGCGCUGUGCAAGGCAGGAGCUAUGGACAAGGCUGAGUUGUUCCUUCGGCAGAUGGUUGAUGAUGAUAUUCGACCGAAUGAAGUGACAUAUAAUGCAAUGAUCCAUGGAUAUUCCACUUUGGGCCAGUGGAAAAAGGCGACUCAAAUGUUUAGAGAAAUGACAAGCCGUGGUCUUGCUCCAAAUAUUGUUACUUGGAGCUCGUUGAUGACCUCCCUCUGCAAGCAUGGAAGAAGCAAAGAAGCUGCAGAAAUUUUUCAUUCCAUGGCUGCAAAAGGCCACAAGCCUAAUAUCGUUACGUAUCGUGUUCUGCUUCACGGGUAUGCCGCUGAAGGAUUCUUUGCAGAUAUGAUUGAUCUCUUUAAUUCAAUGGCAAACAAUGGUAUUGUACCCGAUUGCCACGUUUUCAACAUAUUAAUUAAUGCAUAUGCUAAAUGUGGAAUGAUGGAUGAAGCUAUGUCAAUGCUUACUGAAAUGCGGGGACAAGGAGUGAGUCCGGAUGUGUUCACCUAUGCAACUGUAAUAGCUGCACUUUGCAGAAUGGGUAGGUUGACUGAUGCUAUGGACAAUUUUAAUCGGAUGAUUGGGAAGGGAGUACAACCGAGCAAAGUUGUUUAUCACUCCCUAAUUCAGGGUUUCUGUACGCAUGGUAAUCUGGUGAAAGUGAAGGAGUUGAUUUUUGGAAUGACGGACAAAGGUAUUCCUCACCCUAACAUUGUCUUCUUCAGUUCAAUAAUGCAUAGUCUGUGCAACGAAGGAAGGGUUAUGGAUGCACACCAUAUCUUUGACUUGGUUAUAGACAUUGGUGAGAGACCUGAUCUCAUUACGUUUAAUACGCUGAUUGACGGAUAUUGCUUAGUCAGCAAGAUGGAGGAAGCACUCCGACUACUUGAUUCCAUGGUAUCAGCUGGCAUUAAGCCAAAUGUGAUUACAUAUAAUACACUUAUUAAUGGCUAUUGUAGGAGUGGAAGGCUCGAUGAUGGCGUUAUUCUAUUCAGAGAAAUGUUGCAUACCAGAGUUAAACCUAACACUGUUACAUAUAACAUCAUACUGGAUGGGUUAUUUCGUGCUGGAAGAACUGUUGCUGCGAAGAAGAUGUUCCAUGAGAUGAUCGAAACUGGAACAGCAGUGAGCAUUUCCACAUACAGCAUAGUUCUUGGAGGACUUUGUAGGAAUAACUGCACCGAUGAAGCAAUCACUUUUUUCCAGAAAUUAGUUGCAAUGAAUGUGAAGUCCGAUAUUGCGAUACUCAAUACCAUGAUUAAGGCAAUGUACAAGGUUCAGAGAAGAGAAGAAGCUAACGAUUUGUUUGCUUCAUUACCAGCCUAUGGACUGGUGCCUAAUGCUGCUACUUACAGAGUAAUGAUAAGCAAUCUUUUGAAAGAAGGAUCAUUGGAAGAAGCUGACAAUAUGUUCUCGUCAAUGGAGAAAAGUGGUUGUGCUCCAAGCUCUCGUCUUCAUGAGGAUGUUGGAAUUGAAAAGCCUCCUGAUCUACAGAUCCCAUGGAUUCUACCAAGCCAGCCCGAGGGUCUACAGACUGGCUCGUUCUUCUCAUCGCGGCCAGUUUUACUGAAGAUCCUACCUUGUGGUGAUCUCAUGGAUACCGCCGACCCAGCCUGGGGGUCUACAGCCUCUGACUUGCUCAUUCAUCUCAUCGUGGGCCACCUCACCCACCACGUUCAUCAGGGAAUGGGGAGGAUUGCGAGGACUGCCACAUGCGCAUCAAUAGAGGACCGGCAGGGAAGAGGGACCUGUUGGUGCGGCGGGGCAACAGGAAGUGGCUAUCCAUCAGGGUGCAACAUCACGGUGUUGAGGCGGCUGCCACAGAGCCACCGCUGA